AUCCUUUUGUAGUUCAUGAGCAUGAUGAUUGGGUGUUCACUUGCUUGUGUGAGAUGUGCUACCCUUGAACCUUGUUACAACGUCGGCACAUGACCCAUCAUCUGACC
This 107-nucleotide small nucleolar RNA is filed under the name Aotus nancymaae (Ma's night monkey). RNAcentral describes it as "Small nucleolar RNA U13 (ENSANAG00000004479.1)". It matches the Rfam family "Small nucleolar RNA U13". Lineage: Eukaryota; Metazoa; Chordata; Mammalia; Primates; Aotidae. The record is from Rfam by way of RNAcentral.